GACGACCGGCGCACGGGUGAGUAACGCGUAUGCAACCUACCUACAACAGGGGAAUAACCCGGAGAAAUUCGGACUAAUACCGCAUAAAACAGGGGCUCCGCAUGGAGAUAUUUGUUAAAGAUUUAUCGGUUGUAGAUGGGCAUGCGUUCCAUUAGGUAGUUGGUGAGGUAACGGCUCACCAAGCCGGCGAUGGAUAGGGGAACUGAGAGGUUUGUCCCCCACACUGGAACUGAGACACGGACCAGACUCC
Molecule: ribosomal RNA, 250 nt
Filed under: uncultured Dysgonomonas sp.
Lineage: Bacteria; Pseudomonadati; Bacteroidota; Bacteroidia; Bacteroidales; Dysgonomonadaceae
Description: partial 16S ribosomal RNA
Rfam family: Bacterial small subunit ribosomal RNA
Source: RNAcentral